This 4254-nucleotide long non-coding RNA is filed under the name Gossypium barbadense (sea-island cotton). Its description in RNAcentral is "long non-coding RNA (GBAR_LNC020802)". The record is from RNAcentral. Lineage: Eukaryota; Viridiplantae; Streptophyta; Magnoliopsida; Malvales; Malvaceae.
AAAUAUCCCAAUCCCAUUAACCUAUUUCCCCCAUUUCCCAUUUCCCCUCUUUCACGUUUCUCCCUAACCCUAAGCCCGUGCCCUCCUCCCUUUUUUUCUCAAUUCGAGUUCACCUCCAGCAGCAAUCCACCUCCGGUCCUCCACCGAUCCAAGACCAGACCUCCACGGCUCCACCCAUUUCCAGAAUCAGAGGUUAGAGUGAAGCUACAAACGUUGUUGCCUUACAGUUCCUUUUUUGUUUGAUGUCUUUUCUGCUUAGUAGUUCGAAACCUUGUUUAUAAUAUGUCGUUGUUGCCUUACAGUUCCAUUUGUUUAGUCGUUCAAAAACCUUGUUGCUUCUUCCAUCCACUGACUGUUGUACCAAGUGCCUGGUUUAUAAUAUGUCUUCUGCUUUCUCUUAAUUUCUCUUACUUUCUCUUAUCCUGAACUUAACCAAGUACCUGAAAAAUAUUGUAGAAGACAAUCUGGUUUGCAGGCAUUUUUAUUAUUAACCUUGUUGUUUGUUGAUCUUUCAGCACACACUUCUUAUAUUUUGUUUUUUUUUCUUUCUUUGAUCUUUACUGUAAAUAUAAGUAAUCUUUCAUGGAUUUUAGAUUCACUCCCCCCUUUUGAAGAUCGGGUAAUUUAUAAUUUUUGUUAGAAGACAAAAUUUUGUCAAGAUUCUUGAGUUUGGUUUAAGAAUCUUUUUUAUAUCUGAAAUUGUAAGCUCAUUAUAGUAGCAAUUUUUUUUGGGAACGGUGGAAGCUUUGGAUCUGUCGUUGCUUCAAAGUAUUCUUUUGUUUCACUUGUCCCCAACGAGAUUUUAGUAAUGGAUGUUUACAGUUGGACAGCAUGCAGAUGCAGGCAAAGGGGCUAUGCCUUAGCCACUAUUUGCAGCAAUUGCAAUUUUUUUUAUUUUCCUAUAAUUUUUUAAUAAUGAAAGUAAAAAUAAAAAGAGUAAGGUUAAAUUAACAAAAGUUGUAAAACUUGAAGGGCUAAAUUUGUGAUUAUACUUAAUUUUUUUAACAGAGUUAAUGAAAUAAGUUGUAAAAGUACACUAGUACAGGGACCAAUUUAAAGCAAAUAUAAAUAUAAUAUUUAUUUUUAUCCAAUUCAUUCGGCAAGAAAUGGAAAAAAAUAAGUAAUCUUAUUUUAUUUUUUUUGUUCAUUAUAUACAAAAAAUAUAUAAUUUGAUAUAAUUUUAAUAACAACUAAUUUUAAUAACAAUUAGUUUUAAGAAAAAAAAGGCCAAGAUGGGCUCGGGCUUCGUAUUUUUUCCCUGGGCCGGGCCUAGACAAAAUCUCAGGCCCAUAUUUCGAGUCGGGCCGGGCCUAGGCCUAGGAAGUGGGCGGAAAAUUUUUUGGGCCCGGCCCGGCCCAUGAGCACCUUUAGUGACCGAUCAUGAUUUAUGUUUAAGUUUAAUAUAUAUAUUAAACAAAUUUAAGUUAAUAGAUUUUGUUAAAUUAAAAAUAAGAAUGAAAAAAAAAAGAGUAUAGUGGAGAGAAAUAGAAAGGAGAUCAUUCUUCUUUUCCUUUAACCUUUGCAUGCCGUAUUGGAGAAAGAAAUGGGAGGAGCUUUGGGACAUUUAGUUACAUGCUUUGAAGCUAAAUUUCGUUCUCUUUACAUAAAUUUUGUGUUUUUGGAACCGCAAAAUCAUGAGUUAAAUUACCUAUGUUGAAAAUUUUAGAAUUUUUGAAAUUAAUAGAAGUUACUAUGGUAGAAAAAUUUAAGUUUUUGAUAUGAUUUUGGUAAAUUUUUAAAGUUGGAAGUGAAGUGAGAUGAUUUGUAAAGUCAAUUCAUGAAAUUGUACAUUGAGGAUAAUUAUGGAAAAUGUUAAAAAUAUGGGGUUAAAUUGUUUAUUUAUGUGAAAUUAUCGAAAUAUAAAAAUAAUAUGUCAUUGAGAUAUUUUGAAGUCUUUUAUUUGAAAGAGUUUUGUUUGGGUGCUUGAUGUUGAAACUCUGUUAUUUUAUAGAGUAAAAUAUUUACGACAUUUAAAAAUUAGGGAUUUAAUUGAGUAAAUUGUAAAUGAGAAGGAUUUUUAUUAUAAAUUAAAUAUAUAUAUAGGCUGUAUAUUAAGGGUUAAGUAUUCGGCAAUAUUGGGUUAUGUGUUAAUUGUGGAAUUAACUUGUUUGAUAUGAUGGAUUAAAUUGUAUAGGAUGUAAAUGUUUUGGGGCAAAUGUGUAAAUGUGUAAAUAAGUAGCUAAAUGUAUUGAAUUGAAUGGUAUAUGAAAUUGAGAUUAAUAAUUUAAAUAAAUUAUAUUAUAGAUCAAGAACAAAUUAAUAAUCAAGGAAAAAGGAAGGUAGCCGAAUAGUCCCUAGACUUUUGUCAUUUCUACAAUUUAGCCGAUAAGUUCGUAGUCUUUGAACUCAAACUAUAUUUAUUUAAUUUAAAUACUUAAUUAUUACUUUGAUAUCUUAAUUAUAUUUAUAUAUAUGCAAAUGAUUAAAUUAUGAAAUGAGAAAUUGUGAAUAUAUAUGCAAAUGAUUAAAUUAUUAAAUGAGAAAUUGUGAAUUAUAUACAUGAAAUGUGAUAUUAUGAAUGAAUCAAUAAAUGAUUAGAAUUUAAAUUGAUAGUAUGAAAAUGUUAUAUAUAGAGAUGUAUUGCCGAAUGAUGAGAUUGAAGUUGAAUAAUGUUGAUUAAUGUACGGAGUAAAAUAAAAUCUCGUGUUUACAUGCUAGGUAAGUUCGUAGUCCUCGAACUCGAACUUUAAAAAUUAUUUUAAUUAACUUAGUUACUACUUGAUGUCUUAUUAUAUCCUUAAAGUAUUUGUUAAUCCAAUUGAAUGGAGGUUUAUGGAAUGUAGCAUUAUGGAAUAAAUUAAUGUAUGAUUAGUAGAUAAUUGGAGUGGAAGUGUUAUUAAAUUAUGAAAUGUGAUAUUGAGUUCUGAAAAGUAAAAUUAUGGACUUGCAAAUGAGUAAUUAACAUCGUCAAUUCGUUCGACUAGCGCUGGGAGCAAAUAUCGUUGGUUUGUCCAACUAGAGCUGGGCUCACUAAUUAUUCCAUCAGUUUAUCCGACUAGCGUUAGGUGCAACUUCCGUCAGUUUAUCUGACUAGUGCUGGGCACAAAUUUAUGGUUUAUCUGACUAGCGCUGGGCGCAAAGUUUUUCGCGGAUUAUCCGCUAUGGCACCAGGUGUCGUGUAUCAACUGGAUUAUACAACAAGGUUUUAUGAAUCAUCUAAGAAGGAUGGUUAUAGGUAUUACUAAAGAAGAUUAUAUUUACUUAUGUAUAUACAUUUAUUCAUUAGAAGAUAUGAUGUAUUCUUGAGUUAGAUUAUUAAAGUUGUGAAAUAAAUUCAAAUGCUUUAGAUAUACUUAUGGUUAUUUGAAUAAGUGAAGUUGCUUAUUAUGGAUUGGUUUGUGCCAUAAUAUAAGUAAAUUGUUGGUUGAUCUAUGCAAAACUAUUUAUAUAGCAAGUGAUGUGAAUUGAGAUAUAUGUUCAAACCAACUAAAUGUGAAUACUUGUGAAAGUUGAGUAUAGCAUGAAAUAAUGUGAUGAAGUGCAUGAAAUUUAAAUGGUGAUAUCUUGUAAUUGUAUGUUUAGAUAGUAGUAUGAUGAUAUAAUUCAAUUUGAGCAUUCAUGUAUCAUAUCAUGUCUUAAAAUGUUCGAGUUAUAGAAAUAUCACUGAGUUUUACUCAGCGUGCCGUUUUGUUUUCCGUGCGAAGGUUAGGUACUCUGUUUUUGAUCGCCAACUCAGCAUCCAACAAAAAUCCCGAUCUCAAGUGUGGGGAUGUUUAAUUUUGUAAUGACAUGUACCUAGGAUGUCUUUGAUUGUUAGUUGUUUUGUGAAUGUGAUGUAAUUUGAGUUAUAAGUAUAUAUUUGUGUUUGAAGCUAAAUGUUAGUAUGUGUUUUGACCAAAUACUUUAUAUGUGUAUGAAACUUAAAGCUUAGAUAUCUUAAGUAGCUUUAUGUUAGGCUAAAUGAGUGAUUUUGGCAUACUUUAAAAUUUGAUUUGGAUGAUGCAUUGUUGAUGUGUUUUAAUGAUAUAAAAUGUGGUACCAAUGAACAUUGGUUAGGCACUUAGGAUAAUUGUUUUGGCAUGUUUUGAGUAUGUUUAAUCGUAUUUUGAGUAGGUUAAAUGAUUGGUAUUUGAAUUGCUUAAGGCCCAAGUAAGCUUGAAAUGGUAAGCUUGUUGUUUAAGGUACAUUUUAGGUCCACACAGCAAAAGACACGGGCGUGUGACUCGAUUGUGUGAGGUACACGGGCGUGUCACUAGGCAGUGUGAGGCACACGGCCAUGUGACCCCUUUCUUCAAUUUUUGUGAAUUUUUCCUA